UAGCGGCGAGUGAGCGGCAAAGCUCAAAUUUGAAAUCUGGCGCCUUCGGUGUCCGAGUUGUAAUUUGAAGAUUGUAACCUUGGGGUUGGCUCUUGUCUAUGUUUCUUGGAACAGGACGUCACAGAGGGUGAGAAUCCCGUGCGAUGAGAUGCCCAAUUCUAUGUAAGGUGCUUUCGAAGAGUCGAGUUGUUUGGGAAUGCAGCUCUAAGUGGGUGGUAAAUUCCAUCUAAAGCUAAAUAUUGGCGAGAGACCGAUAGCGAACAAGUACAGUGAUGGAAAGAUGAAAAGAACUUUGAAAAGAGAGUGAAAAAGUACGUGAAAUUGUUGAAAGGGAAGGGUUUGAGAUCAGACUCGAUAUUUUGUGAGCCUUGCCUUCGUGGCGGGGUGACCCGCAGCUUAUCGGGCCAGCAUCGGUUUGGGCGGUAGGAUAAUGGCGUAGGAAUGUGACUUUACUUCGGUGAAGUGUUAUAGCCUGCGUUGAUGCUGCCUGCCUAGACCGAGGACUGCGAUUUUAUCAAGGAUGCUGGCAUAAUGAUCCCAAACCGCCCGUCUUGAAACCACCGGACC
This 567-nucleotide ribosomal RNA is filed under the name Meyerozyma guilliermondii. Its description in RNAcentral is "eukaryotic LSU rRNA". It matches the Rfam family "Eukaryotic large subunit ribosomal RNA", at positions 84 to 667 of the family's 3401-position model. The record is from RNAcentral. Lineage: Eukaryota; Fungi; Ascomycota; Pichiomycetes; Serinales; Debaryomycetaceae.